CUUCUGAAAGCUAUAUAACGCUUGGACCAAGAGGUGGGUUUUUGGCAAUGGAGGGCUCCAGGCUGUGGCCAAUGGAGUGUACCCGAGGAAGCUUUGUUCUCGGAUGUCGAUAGUUUACCCGUGGAUAUUUUCUUUUCCAGGACGGUUUCCCCGUAAAGCUUUACUUUAACGGAUGAUGGA
This is a long non-coding RNA of Xenopus laevis (African clawed frog), 180 nucleotides long. RefSeq lists it as uncharacterized. Lineage: Eukaryota; Metazoa; Chordata; Amphibia; Anura; Pipidae. The record is from RefSeq and is a predicted model, not a curated record. The transcript is spliced from 2 exons.